Molecule: ribosomal RNA, 79 nt
Filed under: Ophiostoma montium
Lineage: Eukaryota; Fungi; Ascomycota; Sordariomycetes; Ophiostomatales; Ophiostomataceae
Description: partial 5.8S ribosomal RNA
Rfam family: 5.8S ribosomal RNA
About the family: 5.8S ribosomal RNA (5.8S rRNA) is a component of the large subunit of the eukaryotic ribosome. It is transcribed by RNA polymerase I as part of the 45S precursor that also contains 18S and 28S rRNA.
Source: RNAcentral
AUUCAGCGAGUCAUCGAAUCUUUGAACGCACAUUGCGCCCGCCAGUAUUCUGGCGGGCAUGCCUGUCCGAGCGUCAUUU